RNAcentral lists this long non-coding RNA (352 nucleotides) under Ananas comosus (pineapple). RNAcentral's name for it is "long non-coding RNA (ACOM_LNC011906)". Lineage: Eukaryota; Viridiplantae; Streptophyta; Magnoliopsida; Poales; Bromeliaceae. The record is from RNAcentral.
UAUGAAACUUUAAAUCUAGCCUCAUAAAAAUAAUUCUGACUUAUCCUCUAGUUUUCAUAAUUUUCUGACACUGUGCAUUUUCUGCUAAUUUAUCUGUUCCGUCUCCAACAGAAAAUUCUAAAUCUUCUGUUUUCAUUCUGAUUUCAGCACAAGUUACUUCUAACUUAUGUUUUACUUCUCUAAAUCCAUUAAAAAUAGUAUCUCAUACUAUUUUUAUUUAUUUUUAUUUUUAUACCAAACUCUGGUAUGUUACAUUCUCCAUCCCAUAAACGGAAUUUCGUUCGCGAAAUUCAAACCAUACCUCAAUUCAGCUCCACGAGCAAUUGAGGGUACCAACUCAUUCUUCCACUCC